CUGGUUCCAAUCUGCCAUGUGGCACCCGGCUGUCCAAUCUCUGUAGGUUUAGGGUGCUGAAGGAAGGGAGGGCAGGGAGGGAGGAGAGCAGGGUGCUGCGGGCCAAUCCGCGCCGCGCAGUCCUGGAAAGCCACUGCGGCCCUGGAGAGCACUGUGCUGCAUUGUGCAAUGCACUUGUAACUCUCACCGCUACCAGCAGCGCCGGGAGCUGGCAGCAUCGCUGCGCCGGGAGAGCAGCUCCGGCUUCUUGGCAUGGGCUGCUGGGCAGGGAGCCACAGGGGCUCAGCCUCCGCUUGGGUGGCUCAUGGGCGGACAUGGCAGGGGAUGCCCGCUGGCAUCGGUCGCUUUUCUUGUCCCUGUGUGCGUCCUGGAGCUCGGUUGCAGAGCAAAUCGCUGUGGAUGGGCUCAACUGCUCUGUGCUCCGCUGAGAUAAUUGACCGGAGGGGAACGGUGAGAGCUCGCUGAAAACCGCACGUCGUAGCCUUCAUGUCCAACUGUCAGUUAUUCGGUGGUUUCAUGAAAGAUUUAUCCCGAGGGAAAAACAAACAAACUGUGCCCACGAACUGUGCCCUGUCACCUCCACAAGCCAAUGCCAGGCGGUGCGCUGGGAACGCUGCCCUGACCACGGCCACGCUGUGACCCCCAUCCCUGCUGGUACCCAGAGCACUGGGGCACGGCACACAGCUGUGAACACAGCGACCGUGGGCAGCGCUGCGUGUCCCCGGCACCGGCUGCGGAGAGAAAGUUUGGAUGAGGGCCACGUUCUGGGGCAGCGGCAUGGAAAAACUGGGUCAGAGCUGGAGCAGAGCCAGCGCGAUGCCCACGGCACUGCAGACCUUCAGCACUGGGAAGUGGCUGUAAAGCUCACAGCAAUCCUGGGCAAACAGUGGAGGAGAGGGUGCUUGGUGUGUGCGUCCCAAUGGGUGCCUCAUCCCUGGAGGUGCCCGAGGCCAUGGGUGGGCCCCGGGCAGCCUGAGCUGGGGGGCAGCCAGCCCACAGCAGGGUGGCACGAGGUGGGCUUUGAGGUCCCUUCCAACCCAACCAACCCAACCACCAUGCUGUGGUUUCAUGAUCCUGUGUUCACCGUGCUGGGAGGAAAGGUCGCUCACCAGCACAUGGGCUGAGUGCGUGGUCUCAGUGGCCACUUCUUCAUGGUAGAGUCAUAAAUCAGGAAGCUGAUUUCUGAAAGAUGCAAGUCCAGAGGACGCCUGCUGAAAAGACAAAACAAGUCUGUAGCAUGAUUUUGUGUUUGUGCGUUUUUUUCCUUAGCUUUGGACUAGGUUUUGUAAUAUUGAUGCAGUUGGUUUUCUUUCCAUCGCAAAUCACCAGGUUCACCCUUCGGUUUGGGCUGAAUUUGUUCUGCUGAUUUCAAAAGUCCCUUCCGCCAGAGUUACUCCCUCCUCUUCAUGCCCCAGUCACGGCAAUGCUUUGGCAGCAUUAAGCACGCUCCCCACCCUAUCCCACUGUGGUGAGAGCCAAGAGCUUCACUGGGGUGAGCAGCCCUCCCAGUGCCAUGUGCUCUGGGCAAGAGGAGCACUUGGACUGGUGCUGGCCCUCCGGCACUCAGCGCUUUGCUCACCCUGGGCUCACCCAGAGGACGUCCCAGAGGUGAUGCCCAGGGUCCUGGUGCGGCCAUAGGACCUCCAUGAGCCAAAAUCUGGGCGGAGGGAUGGAUCCGUGGGGAGUGCCAGCUUUGGGCAAAGGGUGCACGUGGCUGACACAGCGACCGCGUCUCGGUGCCGUUGGCUGAACCAAAGACGGCGUGUAAGCCAGGCACAGCAAAGAACCUCAGCCCAGCUUUGGAAAUGGUUUAAAGCCAGAAAUAGACAUAUUUCUUUUCAUUAGGAAGGAAUUCUGUUCGUGCUUCUUCACGUCCCCCCAUCACUUCUCACAUCAGCUGUCUGCUGUGCGUUUUCACAUCUGUGCUGCUAUGGUUACCGAGAGCCUGAAAGGUUCUAAAUCUCCCUCAAAGCAACGGAGGAUUUUGGAGGUAAUCUCGUUAAGAGAUGAGCAAUGAAUAUUUCCAAAGGCCCUUUGCAUGAGUCUCUCUCCCUGUGUUAGCUGAUGGCCACUGGCAGGAGGGAGCGCAGAGCAGGGGGACCCUGUGCGAGGGCAGGAGGGAGAGCAGCUCAGCUGCCAUUGCAGCCUUUUGUGUCCGGAGCCUAAAUGCCAUAUUUUGGCUUGGAUGGGUCAGGUAGGGCAACAAAUAGCAGUGACAUCGCGCUGAGCUCGCCCUGCUGCCCAUCCCUCUUUUAGCAAGUGCUCCGUGGCAGCAGUUGGACAGCGGAGGAUGUCACUUGCCAGACAGCCACCUGGGCCGACCCAGCGCCCACCCCGCCUGCUCUGCCUCCUGCUUCUGCCCAUGGAUAAAUUCAUGGUGUACACGAGGGCGGCUGCGUGUGCUGCUGUUCCAGCCGAGCUGGGAGCAGGGAGGCAACGAGAAACCCUGCCCCUGAUGCAUAGAUGUACCGGCGCUAUAUGUGCUCCGUGUCACCGUCUGGAACAGUGUGUUGCGGAGGAUCCUGUUCCCGGCGCCGCGGGUACGUGCUGCCCCGACAGGGAGGGCUCGGCCGCACGGUGACCCCACAGCCGGAUGGGGUUGGUAAUGCCAGGAUUAGCAGCAGCAGCGAGAAGCUUGCCUCUCUCUGGGCCACCGACACGGCUUUUCCUAAGGUGACGCCGGGUGAGGCUGUGCAGCCGUGCUGCAGGGUCAGCAGCGGGUGACAGCCGUAGCACCGGGCAUCCUGGAGUCUGUGUCCCUCGUGUGCAGGGGUGCAGCCUGUCCCCUUCCCAUGCUCUGUACGGGCAGGGGAUGUGCUGCAGGCUUCCAGUGCUCCCAGUGCUCCCAGCAGCCACCUCUACUUAGCCUUGCCCACUGCGGUGGCAUUGAGGAAGGACACACAGCACUGGCGCAUGACGUGAUCUCUCUAGCCAGGAGCACGAGGCUUCAUCUUGGAGCUGAGCAUCCUCCUCGAGGGCUGAGCAUCCUCAAGGGCUGAGCGUCCUCCUCCAUGCAAGGCUGCAGCCCAGAAGUGAAGGGCUCAUGGCUGUAUGGCUGAUGUUGGCAUGAACACCCCAAAGCAGGAGUGGUUCUGCUGUCCUGGGUCAGGACGCGGGUGCUGGAUGUGUCCCACCUCUCCUCUGGGCUCCCGUGCCCUAGCGCAGCGCUCUGUGCUGUGCCCCUUCCAGCAGCAGGGAGAUGUCCCUCUCUCGCCCUGAAAACCGAGCGCUUUCUCUUUUCAGGCCGCACAGAAAUGUCACGCUGUAAACACCCCCCGGUGCCGCUGCCUUUCCCCGCGGUCCCUCUGACCACACAACCACGAUUCCUAGGGCCACCAUGGCGCAGUCCUCAGCGGCCCCUUGUCCUUCAGAAGCAAAAAGCCCUUUGCAUUAUGCGGCAAAAGCAACGUCAGUGUUGGCCCACACGCCUCGGCCGUUGCUUCUGCUGCCAUGUCCGUGGGCAAGCUCCUUCCUGCUCAGGGCGUGCGCAGGGGGAGCUUUACCCGGAGCCAAGCAGCAUCACCCUGAGUGCUGCUGACAGCGCUGCAGGAGAUCCGCCGGCUCCGUGCGCACCGGGGCACUGCCGCCUGUCAGGGCUCCUCAUCCCCACGUCCCCAAAACGCGUUCUGUCAGCAAGCAGCAGCAGCAGCAGCAGCAGCAGCAUCGUGUGACCCCGCAGUGCUGGCGGCGAGGCCGAUCCGCUGCCUGCCACCCAGACGCUGUCUCCGGGUUCGUUUUGCAGGAAGCUGCGCCACGGCCCUGCCCCGUGUUUAGGGGAGGUCGGAUCCCACUUCCACCCAGCGGCACCGGGAGGGGGUGCUGAGCCAAGGCCAGGGUGUGGAGCGCUGUCCCCAGCUCAGAGCGCCGAGGCAGACCCGUGAAGCAGAAACGACGCGUUCUGGCAGCUGACAUCUCCAGGAAGAGUUCAGCAUGAAGAACAAAAUCACCCUACGGUGAGUUCGUGUUCCCAAGCUGCCGCCCUACAAACCCAGACCGCUCGUGGUGCCAAGGAGGAGAAAACAAAGGAGGGGAGGAGGUUUGUCCUGCGUCUGUGUACUGAGUGCCAGCGGGGCAGGGUGACACGGCACAGCCCCCAGCACCGUGCAGCACUUUGCAAAGGGACAUCGGCUCCACAGCAGGGACAGAGGGGGACGAAGGGCUCCUCUGGGCCGUGCUGGCUGCCGGUUCGUGCCCUCCCUGCCCUCGGCACAUUUCUGGCAGCAUUUGCUGUGCAAUGGCAAAGCACCACUGGGCAGAACCAAUGCGUUUGCCCUCCCUGAAGCGGGAGGCUGCAGCUCGUGCCAUCGAGGCGGCAGCUGAGCGCGUUGCCCUGCACCCACUGAGCUUCUGGGGCCGUCCCACUCUGCUGCACCUGCUGCAUUGCUGCAGCUGUCACUGCGCAGAUGCUCAGAGCUGGGGUUACCCUGCACGAGCCCUAUGGGCGGCAGCAGCAGCAUCCCAGGGGAGGAAGGCUCCUGCUCGUGCCAGCACGGGAGAUUCUCCAGCCCUCCCGCUUCCCUGUGCAGCUCCUCGGAGGCUGAGCAGCACUGAGGGUCUCAGGAGAGAGGCAGGCGGAAAACGGGUUUAUUUCUCUCUGUGGCACAACGGAGCAUUAAAUAUCUUCAAAGAGACUCGCUGAUUGCAGCUGCUGGCAUGGGGAGCUCUGUGCUCGGAGAGGAGGAGGAGAAGGAUGGUGAUGGUGAUGAUGCAGAGCAGUUUCCCAGCCCUGACGCCUUGUCCCAGCGCGGCCGGGGGACAGAGCCAGCCCCAGGGCUCACAGCAUCUUCUGCUGCUGCUUUUGGUUCUCGUGAAGGACAAACAGAGGCAGGCGGCCGCCCGGAGCUGGCUCACGGCAUCAGCGCUAUCAUGCAACGUGUCCUAUUUGAUCUUCAGAAACAAAGAGCGGCGCGGCACGCAGCCAGCUCGCUGCGGAGGGGACGAUGCUUCGGGAAGGCCGCGCCGGGGACCCCCACGCAGCCCCAGCGCAAGGCCGGGGCCUCCCCAUGCAUCACCCCACAGCCGGCCCGCGUCCCAAAGAUUUCGGGUGGCAGCUUUGUAGGGUCAGGCGUGGCCAUGGGGGCUGCCGUCCUGUGUGCCACCCCCGCCCCACGCGGGCUGUGUGUCGGGGUGCUGGGCCUCAGCAGCACCCAGCGGGCAGCAGCCACCGCACGCUGCUCCCCAGCCCCAGCCCCAGGGGUCCCCGCUGACCCCGCCGUGCCCAGCGCGCUGAAGGAAGGACGGCUCCGAGAGCCCUCAGCCCCGCGCUGCUCUGCAACGGCCCCGGGAAGAGGCGCUGCAUCAGAGCCAUGAAGGCCGCGGUGCAGAAGGAGAAGCACGGAGAAGCAGCUUCGCUCGCGUCCUUUCCAGGCUCCGUUAGGGAGGAGCUCGGUCACAGGCAGCGCCCGGACUUGGGCCUCACCAUGGGAACGCUGUCUGUCUCUCUGCACAGGCUGCGGCUCCCUGUGCAAAAAAUAAAAAAGAAAUUAGCAGCGCUAAUGAGGUGGAGCUGGGAGCGCGGAACGCGUUCUGCUCGCUGCUGCCCGCGGGCACCUCCGGGCGCGGCUGCAGCCGGGGCGGGCGGGACGGGAGCUGCCGCUUUCCUGCUCGCUCAGCCCCCGGGAGCUGCGCGGCUGUUAUUGUAGGGACGAACAAAAGCACCGCGCCGAGCGUGGCCGUGCUGGCGUUCAUCCGCCCGCUCGUGCAUUUCUCUCUCCGUGCCUCGUUCGCCAAGUGCUGCCCUACAAUCAAAGCCGGAGCAUUAAGUUGGGGAACCAGAAGGCGACGCUCAAGCCCGGCACUGGAGCAACUCCUUGCUGCACAGGUGCCGUUCCGCGGCCUCCGACGGAACCCCCCCACCCCGGGCCUGGCGCACCACGCGCUGCUGCAGGGUCCCACGGGAGCAGCAGGGGCCGGGUGUCCGCUGUCCCCGUGCCCCCGCGCUGUAACCCAGCUAUCGCUGCCCCGCUCUCAUGGCCACGCACAGCAGCAGUACGCGGGGUUAGGGCGCCCCCUCGCGGCGCUCCGCGGUGUUGCGCUGCGUGGCUCCGCGCCGAGUCCACCGGCUCCGCCCCGCUCUACUGCGGCUGCGCAGGGUCUGGCCCCGCCCCCCCCCGGCCGCGGGCUGAGUGCAAAAGGCGGCGGGAAACGGGGGGCGGGAAAACGGGGCCCGGGUGCGUGUGCGCGCGGAGCGGUGCUGGGUUUUCUUUUUUUUCCUCUUUUCCAGGGUAGGGGAUAGAGAGAAAGCGGUUGAAUCUGGAAAAUCCCAACCGUUCAUUUCUCAGUGCCUGCGCCCCAGCCGGCUCAGGGGUCUCUUCUAGCAGCCUUACAGCUCGGACAGCAGCAGGAGGAGCCGUGAACGGAUGUUCCAGCCACGGCUCCGGCUGCAGCGGUUCUAAACCCCCCGGGCCGACAGAUUCUGGCUCCUGCUGUAAAAAUAGCGCAGCUUCGUCCGCCACUUGGAGAGCAGAACCGCCCACGUGGGAGAGCCGCAGCUCCCAGCCCAGCAGAGGCAGCCCACGCCCGUCGGCCCCUGUGCCUGGGGACGGGGCAUCUGCAAAGCCCCGCGUGGGAGCCGUGGAGAUCAGGGAGCUUAUUCUUCAUGGAGAGAAGCAAAAUCACGAUAAUUGCAGUUGGAAGAAACUCCCAGCCCUCAGCCGCUGGGAGCAGCUGUGUCAGCCACCCAGCAGCCCUGCUUGCCUUGGGGACCCAGCACCGGUCCUGAAGAGCACAGCACCAGGGCAGGCCAGGGUGCAGGCAGCUCCACUGCUCGGGCAGCCGGGCCCGCGUUAAGGCCGCUCCGGUUCUCCCAGGAUGGCACCUGCUUUGCGUAGGGCAGCACCCAGCCCUCUGUUCUGGACACUGAGUGAAAAAGAAUAAGCACCUGGAAGGAAAAAAUAAUUGCUUGCUAGUUCAGGCAGCCAGACACAUUCCAGCUUGCACCGGCCCAAUGAGAUGCAGUUAUUUGUACCAGGCCCUGCUACGCCUGCCCUGAAAGCCUUUUCCAUAACAUGUGCAAUACAGGCCAAGGGACGCUGCUGCAUCAGCUCAGCUGCUCCCUCGCAAACAGGGAGAAAGGACUGAAGUCACCACAGAGUCCAUCAAACCACGAGAACCCAUCUCUUCUAGGGCUACCUGAAGACUUUCUCAGCGCAGCAUUUUGCUCCUUUCAGUUAUUCACAGACUACUGAAAACAACAAAGCACACGGGGACGAUGAGAUUUUGUUCUGUUGUGCCCAGCAGGGGCAGCUUUCCCUCUAAACCUGCAUUGCCCCACACCUUGCACCUUGCUCAAGUCUCUGUUCCCCACAAAGCCUUGGUGCCUCCCCCCGCAGCACAGCCUUGCUUUCAGCACACUGAAGCUUUGCAGGCAGAGGAACGAAAUAAAAGAGCCCGUGACCCCUUAUUCCAAACAGUUCACAUUUAUUAUCGAUAACAAUUAAAAAAAAAUCUUUUAAAGACUAUCUGUAUUUUAUUACCAAGAAUGAGGUAUUAUGUAUACAAAACAUGUACAGAAUUUGAUAUGCAGUUCAUGAGGAUGGACAGGUAAGUGCAGAUGGACACGGGUAACAGGAAAAGAAGCCAACAACAGCAGAGUCAUCGGCUGAGAGAAA
Molecule: long non-coding RNA, 7610 nt
Organism: Numida meleagris (helmeted guineafowl)
Lineage: Eukaryota; Metazoa; Chordata; Aves; Galliformes; Numididae
Exons: 4
Source: RefSeq, a predicted model, not a curated record